AAACUAAAACCCAGUUAGUUAUUAAGUUACCUCAGAACUGCAGCGCACAAACCUGAGCAAGUUCUGAGGCAACUUUGGUGAGACUUUUUUCUCUAAAGCUAUUAACAGGCGAGAGAGACCCAGGAAAAUAGUGGGGGCCAGAAGGGAAGGAGAGAAAAGAAUUCACGGUGAGCCUUCCUAUUUGAAAAAGAAGCAUUGUAGGCAAGCUCACACCUGAAUGAGUCAAGAAAACGUUAUGAAAUAUCGUCCUGAUUCAGGCAAAAUGGCAGUCAGAGGCCCAGAUGGGUUUGUGGUGCUUUGAGGACAAGGCUUCGGUAGGAGGUUAUACUAGGCCUGAGAGCUUGAGUUCUAUGUAGAUCGACUUGGGCUCAGAUGAUCUAGGCUAGGAAUGCCUGAGCUUUAUUUGCUGUUCAUUCUCCUGGAACAAGUGGGCUACUCAAGGAACUUUGAGACUGCACCAAGAUGGGUUUGCCACUGAAACAAGAGGUCAUGGGACUGUAUUGUGUGAGAUACAGGUGUGUCCAGGUGCAACCGUUGCAGCACUGAAGUAAAGGGUCCCAGGUGCC
This 566-nucleotide long non-coding RNA is filed under the name Capra hircus (goat). Its description in RNAcentral is "lncRNA (ENSCHIG00000003739.1)". Lineage: Eukaryota; Metazoa; Chordata; Mammalia; Artiodactyla; Bovidae. The record is from RNAcentral.